GAGCGCCGUGUGCGAUGAAAGUCGCAUGCACGGUGCGGAGUGGGGGAAAACAAAGAAAACCGCAUAGCCGACAACGAC
RNAcentral lists this non-coding RNA (78 nucleotides) under Gemmiger formicilis. Lineage: Bacteria; Bacillati; Bacillota; Clostridia; Eubacteriales; Oscillospiraceae. The record is from RNAcentral.